Molecule: ribosomal RNA, 2146 nt
Filed under: Pseudomonas congelans
Lineage: Bacteria; Pseudomonadati; Pseudomonadota; Gammaproteobacteria; Pseudomonadales; Pseudomonadaceae
Description: 23S ribosomal RNA
Rfam family: Bacterial large subunit ribosomal RNA
Source: RNAcentral
GUUAUAUGGUCAAGUGAAGAAGCGCAUACGGUGGAUGCCUUGGCAGUCAGAGGCGAUGAAAGACGUGGUAGCCUGCGAAAAGCUUCGGGGAGUCGGCAAACAGACUGUGAUCCGGAGAUGUCUGAAUGGGGGAACCCAGCCAUCAUAAGAUGGUUAUCUUGUACUGAAUACAUAGGUGCAAGAGGCGAACCAGGGGAACUGAAACAUCUAAGUACCCUGAGGAAAAGAAAUCAACCGAGAUUCCCUUAGUAGUGGCGAGCGAACGGGGACCAGCCCUUAAGUUGUAUUGAGAUUAGCGGAACACUCUGGAAAGGGUGGCCAUAGUGGGUGAUAGCCCUGUACGCGAAAAUCCCUUUGCAAUGAAAUCGAGUAGGACGGGGCACGAGAAACCUUGUCUGAAUAUGGGGGGACCAUCCUCCAAGGCUAAAUACUACUGACUGACCGAUAGUGAACCAGUACCGUGAGGGAAAGGCGAAAAGAACCGCGGAGAGCGGAGUGAAAUAGAUCCUGAAACCGUAUGCGUACAAGCAGUGGGAGCCCACUUUGUUGGGUGACUGCGUACCUUUUGUAUAAUGGGUCAGCGACUUAUUUUCAGUGGCGAGCUUAACCGAAUAGGGGAGGCGUAGCGAAAGCGAGUCUUAAUAGGGCGUCUAGUCGCUGGGAAUAGACCCGAAACCGGGCGAUCUAUCCAUGGGCAGGUUGAAGGUUGGGUAACACUAACUGGAGGACCGAACCGACUACCGUUGAAAAGUUAGCGGAUGACCUGUGGAUCGGAGUGAAAGGCUAAUCAAGCUCGGAGAUAGCUGGUUCUCCUCGAAAGCUAUUUAGGUAGCGCCUCAUGUAUCACUGUAGGGGGUAGAGCACUGUUUCGGCUAGGGGGUCAUCCCGACUUACCAAACCGAUGCAAACUCCGAAUACCUACAAGUGCCGAGCAUGGGAGACACACGGCGGGUGCUAACGUCCGUCGUGAAAAGGGAAACAACCCAGACCGUCAGCUAAGGUCCCAAAGUCAUGGAGCACUCUGCAAACACGAAAGUGGACGUAUAGGGUGUGACGCCUGCCCGGUGCCGGAAGGUUAAUUGAUGGGGUUAGCGCAAGCGAAGCUCUUGAUCGAAGCCCCGGUAAACGGCGGCCGUAACUAUAACGGUCCUAAGGUAGCGAAAUUCCUUGUCGGGUAAGUUCCGACCUGCACGAAUGGCGUAACGAUGGCGGCGCUGUCUCCACCCGAGACUCAGUGAAAUUGAAAUCGCUGUGAAGAUGCAGUGUAUCCGCGGCUAGACGGAAAGACCCCGUGAACCUUUACUAUAGCUUUGCACUGGACUUUGAAUUUGCUUGUGUAGGAUAGGUGGGAGGCUUUGAAGCGUGGACGCCAGUCUGCGUGGAGCCAACCUUGAAAUACCACCCUGGCAACUUUGAGGUUCUAACUCAGGUCCGUUAUCCGGAUCGAGGACAGUGUAUGGUGGGUAGUUUGACUGGGGCGGUCUCCUCCUAAAGAGUAACGGAGGAGUACGAAGGUGCGCUCAGACCGGUCGGAAAUCGGUCGUAGAGUAUAAAGGCAAAAGCGCGCUUGACUGCGAGACAGACACGUCGAGCAGGUACGAAAGUAGGUCUUAGUGAUCCGGUGGUUCUGUAUGGAAGGGCCAUCGCUCAACGGAUAAAAGGUACUCCGGGGAUAACAGGCUGAUACCGCCCAAGAGUUCAUAUCGACGGCGGUGUUUGGCACCUCGAUGUCGGCUCAUCACAUCCUGGGGCUGAAGCCGGUCCCAAGGGUAUGGCUGUUCGCCAUUUAAAGUGGUACGCGAGCUGGGUUUAGAACGUCGUGAGACAGUUCGGUCCCUAUCUGCCGUGGACGUUUGAGAUUUGAGAGGGGCUGCUCCUAGUACGAGAGGACCGGAGUGGACGAACCUCUGGUGUUCCGGUUGUCACGCCAGUGGCAUUGCCGGGUAGCUAUGUUCGGAAAAGAUAACCGCUGAAAGCAUCUAAGCGGGAAACUUGCCUCAAGAUGAGAUCUCACUGGAACCUUGAGUUCCCUGAAGGGCCGUCGAAGACUACGACGUUGAUAGGUUGGGUGUGUAAGCGCUGUGAGGCGUUGAGCUAACCAAUACUAAUUGCCCGUGAGGCUUGACCAUAUAACACCCAAGCAAUU